This is a long non-coding RNA of Pistacia vera, 1909 nucleotides long. RefSeq lists it as uncharacterized. The record is from RefSeq and is a predicted model, not a curated record. Lineage: Eukaryota; Viridiplantae; Streptophyta; Magnoliopsida; Sapindales; Anacardiaceae. The transcript is spliced from 4 exons.
AAUAAUGUAGGACAAAAAUUAUAAUUCUUUCCUAUAUCAGAUGUAGGACAAAGAUUAUUCAUGAUCCUCAAGGUGUCCUGAAGUCGUGUUAUGCAGCUAUAGAGAGUCGCAAGACUUCUGAUCUUCUGCUACAUUAAUAUUAACUCAUGCCUUCUACAAAAUUUGAACAUGUAAUUUAAUUUUCAAAAGAUUAUAUUCUUUCUAAUGUUAUUCUUGUUGGAUUUCAAAGUAUGGUCUUGAAAGUGAGGUGUCAACAUAUGGAGAUGUCUACAGUUAUGGGGGCUUGUUGUUAGAGAUGGCUGUUGCAACUUUCUAUGAUUCAUUGUGGAAGAGAGUUUGAAGUCUUGGCUGUUGCAACUUUCUAUGAUUCAUUGUGGAAGAGGGUUUGAAGUCUUGGCUGUUGCAAAUUGCGACAAUGGUUGGUUAUUGAAGUCGACACUCAACAGCCAAUCGUUUCCUCGUUUAUUGCCUCUUUGGACUUGUUUCAAGACGUCCACUAGAAAAUUUUAAGCUGAAGAAGGCACACUUUUUUUAUUGUCAAAAGCGAGAUGAUGGAGAGGUGAGAAAAUGAAGUUUUAUUGUCACACAAAUAUCUACAAUUUGCCGUUAUUAUGCAGGUUCACCCUACCGACGUGAAAAUCAGCACAGUAAAGUUCGUCACCAUCCAGACCAGUGAUGAAACCAGGGUUUAUUUGUAAGAAGCAAGAAGAGAGAACUUGAGAUCGAGGGUUUAAAGUUGCAGCCGUUCAAAUGUCUAAAAUGGGCCUGUGACUCGUGUAUUAGUAUUUAAGGCGGAAGAAGGGAUAAGGCUGAUUUCAGGAGCUGGACCAGAAGUUGAGAAGCUUCAGACCAAUUUCCUGGCCAUUCAAGCUCUGCUUGCUGAUGCUGAGGACCGCCAAGUGAAGCAUAACGCUGUGAGAGUUUGGUUAGACAAGCUCAUAGACGAUGUGUUGGAUGUGUGGAACUCAAAGCUUCUGAAAUUACGAAUUAAGAAAGCUCAAAAUGCGUCCAAGCCUUUGAAAAAGCUGCAGCAACCAGGGAAUCCUGCACUGGAGACAUCUUGUGAAAGAAAUGUUGAAUAUCAGGCACCACUUCAAUUUUAAAACUGAUAAGGUUCCAUCAGCUUGCCAUGUUAUGUUGUUGGAUGUGAAUUGGACCAGCUUUUAUUUCUUUUCUUUUCAAGCUGCAACAAACAGCCAUGACUCAAUACAUAUCUUGUGAAGAAAUGUUUAAUAUCAAGCACCAUUGCGAUGUGAGAAGGCUCCAUCAAUUCACCAUAUUGGUUUCUGCAAGCAAUUGUUACUUAUGCAUACGAAACACAUGGACAAGGUAAUUGGCCGUAGGACAUCCUAUAUGAGUUUGUUUCCUGACUUUUGAGAGAACAGUCUUGAAUUUUCGAGUUGCUUUUGUAUAAAUUGAAAGCAAAAUGAUCAUCUUCCGAUAAUGUAGGUAUUGAGUGUUCUCUAUAAUAGCAUUGCUCCUGGGUUCAUACCAUCUCUCGAAAUUCUAAUUUCGUAUCAGUAUAUGGAAUUAUGGAUAGUUUUAGCUUAAUUACAAUGGUAGCCAGCUCGUGGAUUUUUCACCCAAGCCGUCAAAUUCCAGAGUGGGAGUCGCUCCCAGAGUUGUAGCUACAGCAGAAACAAGUCAGAUUAUCCAAAAGUUGUUUGAUGACUUUGAAGUUUCUUUUUUGAUGGGAAUCAGUUAAAAAAACAUGUUUUAUGAUUCAAGUUCAUCAGGUUUACAGACGUUACACCCCCAUGAAUACCUAUUUUCUAAUACCUUUGUGAGAGAAUGAACUGUAAAAAUCGGUUCUGAAUAACUAGCCAGCCAGAUUGUAUUGUAGAUAUUGAUUGGCAUGAAGGAAUUGCUCUGUUUCAAGAAUUUCAUUCAUUGUCAAGUUCAAAGUUUU